UCAGCAACCGGAGUGUGAUGUCACCCAGAGAAAUCCAACUUCCGCAUCAGCCCCGGGAGGCCAUGAAGCACCUGGGCAAGCCUCAACCGUUGUGUGAUGUCACAUGGAGAAAUGCCUGCUCGUGGGCAAAGGCCAAGCUGGGUAGAUGAGGUCUGCAGGCAAGCAGAAGCCUGGCAUAUUGAGAUAGUGAAAUCAGGACUCCAUGGGUGAUCCCAGGCAGGAAUAGAAGGGCCCUGCCACCCAAUCCUACCACACUGUGACCCUGCCCAUGGCCCUAAAGCAAAGGGGAAGCCAGGCAUGGACUGGAGCCUCUAUAAAUACGGGAAGGGAUCAGACAGUUUGAGUGACCACAACAAACACCCCAGUACAUUAUUCUAACGGUUCAGAUAAAACAAUUCACAUCACUGAUACAGUCUAUGUCUGACACAAGAUUCAUAUGGCCGACUUCCUCAGAGUUGGGGCAAAUCUCUCCACCUCCUGCUCUAUCCCAGAGUCCCUGUCUUCCUGCUGGAUGUCCCACCUUCUAAUCCUGCCUCACCUGACUGGCCAUCAGCUUUUUAUUGACAGACGAUGCUUCCACACAGUGCACAAGAGAGUCUCUCUACAAGAAGUGCCACAGAAAGGCUGUGAAGUGUAGGGCACGUGGGUUAUAUUCAAAUGCCAGACUAUUUCACAUGAGGAGUUUGGAGGCUCCAGGGACUUCAGUAUUCUCUCUGGGACACCUCUGUUUCCUGUAGACACCAGAGAUCACUGUAUGUGAAUUGGUGAGUGUGUGGGUGAAUGAAUGAGUGAAUGAGACAGAAAGGAUCUUGCUGUGUAUAGGAACAUGGUGGAAACACAGGUCCACCCCUUGACAAGCACAGUGGUGAUUAUUUUAGGUAAGAGGCAUCAAUGGAAACAAACAUCUGUGGGAGGAAAUACAAUGUCAGAAUGUCAGUGUCUCCUCAUGAGACACUUAAUAUAGCAAGGGAAGGUGGUGACCUUGGAGUGGAAAGGCUUGGUGGACACCACCUGAACCAGGUGACCAGUUACCAUAGUGGUAAUCUGACACAUAUUCUCUUGCCUGGAGAAUCUGGGAUGGAUCAACAUAAACUCUGAUGUUCUAGCCAAAAAAGUGUCCAAAGUGGGCAGUCGUCAGCCAAACACAAAU
Mus caroli (Ryukyu mouse) is the source of this 1150-nucleotide long non-coding RNA. RefSeq lists it as uncharacterized. The record is from RefSeq and is a predicted model, not a curated record. NCBI's taxonomy places the organism in Eukaryota, Metazoa, Chordata, Mammalia, Rodentia, Muridae.